Molecule: ribosomal RNA, 301 nt
Filed under: uncultured bacterium
Lineage: Bacteria
Description: partial 16S ribosomal RNA
Rfam family: Bacterial small subunit ribosomal RNA
Source: RNAcentral
CAGUAGCCGCGGGAAUACGUAGGGUGCGAGCGUUAAUCGGAAUUACUGGGCGUAAAGGGCGUUUAGGCGGCCUGGGGCGUCCCAUGUGAAAGGCCACGGCUCAACCGUGGAGGAGCGUGGGAUACGCUCAGGCUAGAGGGUGGGAGAGGGUGGUGGAAUUCCCGGAGUAGCGGUGAAAUGCGCAGAUACCGGGAGGAACGCCGAUGGCGAAGGCAGCCACCUGGUCCACUUCUGACGCUGAGGCGCGAAAGCGUGGGGAGCAAACCGGAUUAGAUACCCGAGUAGUCCCUGUCUCUUAUAC